UGGCCUGGAAGGGCGUGCUCCGGUUCGAGCCCCGCCCCUCCAGCCAAGGAUUAAGGGGCGGGACGCACCUCGCUUCCACAGUAGACAGUCAUGGACGUCUCCAGUGUAGGUAACCGGGGCGAGGCCCCCUGGAAGAAGAUGUCUACAGAGGAAUUGGAGAAUCAAUACUCCCCGAGCAGAUGGGCGGUCCAAAUGAGACCAGAGGAAGCCUUGAAGACCUACCUCCAGAUAGGAAUCGAGGGUACUGCCACCAGGAGGGCCCGGGCCACCAGGAGGAGCCUGCUGCACGUGCCUUACGGAGACAGCGAAGGGGACAAAUUGGACGUCUACCUUCCCCGGGAGGCGACAGAAGCCCUCCCCUGCUUCGUGUUUUUCCAUGGAGGAUACUGGCAGAGUGGAAGUAAAGACGAAUCUGCCUUCAUGGUGGAAGCCCUGACAGCACAAGGAGUGGCAGUGGUGAUUGUGGAUUAUGACAUUGCUCCCAGAGGCACCCUGGCCCAGAUGGUAGAUCAGGUGACACGGAGUGUGGCGUUUGUGCAGAGGCAGCAUCCGCGCAAUGGGGGAAUUUACCUGUGUGGACACUCAGCUGGGGCCCACCUGACUGCCAUGAUGCUCCUGGCCAACUGGACCAAGUUUGGAGUCGUGCCCAACCUCAAAGGCUUCUUCCUGGUGAGUGGGAUCUACGACCUGGAGCCUAUCAUGUUCACCUCGAAUAAUGCCCUUCUGCACUUAGCACCGGAGGAUGCCCAGAAGAACAGCCCCCAGCUGCUGGUGGCCCUGACACAGCCGGCAGACCCUACCUGCCACGUGCAGGUGAUUGUGGGCCAGCACGACUCCCCAGAGUUCCAGCGCCAGUCCAGGGAGUUUUAUCAGGCCCUGUGCCAAGGAGGGUGGAAAGCCUCUUUUGAAGAACUCUGCAAUGUGGAUCACUUUGAAAUCAUUGAGAAUCUGACCCAGAAGGACGAUGUGCUCACGCAGAUUAUUUUGAAAACAAUCUUUCAGAAGUUUUGAGGACACCUAGACCCCAGCUUGUGUGCACCCCAACUCCUGGCGCCUACUCAAAGAGCACAGCUGGUGCUUCUCCCAGUGCCCAGCCCCGCCUGGCUGUGGGAUUUACUAUUGCUGGGAACUGCUGCUUGGAGGAGAGAAAGGCCAAGUCCGUGCUGUGGGUCAGCCCACCUGGCUAGCUCUUGCUCUGGCUCAUGACCCAGGCCCUGUCCCCUAGCACAAGAUGGUGAUGAAGAUGGCUGCCGGUGGUCUCCACUUAUUCUGGCAUAAAAUAACUGGAUGGAGCAGGAGUAGAUGAACAGACAGACUCAGGAGCUGGGCCCGUCCUAGCCCGGAAAGGCCACAUCUCAAACCCUUUGUUUCUGUCUCUUAAAAAAAAAACAAACCCCGCUGUACAAAGCCAGUUAUUGAACCAACCCACCAGACUGUGGAAAACAUAAACCUAAUCCUUGUUGCAUGCCUUCUGCUGGCAUUCUUCCUAGAGGGGUUUAGACUUCAAACAUAAAAACUAAUACCAGAAUCUGUAAGCUAUGGUUCUGUUUAUAAAAAAGAAAAUGAAAACAGGGUGGCGCCUGUGGCUCAGCGGGUAGGGCGCUGGCCCCAUAUCCUGAGGGUGCUGGGUUCAAACCCGGCCCCGGCCAAACU
Molecule: RNA transcript, 1653 nt
Organism: Nycticebus coucang (slow loris)
Lineage: Eukaryota; Metazoa; Chordata; Mammalia; Primates; Lorisidae
Gene: AFMID
Gene name: arylformamidase
Exons: 12
Source: RefSeq, a predicted model, not a curated record